RNAcentral lists this long non-coding RNA (2844 nucleotides) under Anolis carolinensis (green anole). Its description in RNAcentral is "lncRNA (ENSACAG00000042919.1)". The record is from RNAcentral. Lineage: Eukaryota; Metazoa; Chordata; Lepidosauria; Squamata; Anolidae.
AUGAAGAGAAUGGCUUACUAUUUGAAAAAGAAAAAAGAAAAAACAUGGAUAAAGAGAUUGAAAGACGAAAAUGGGAAAGAACAAGAGGAGCAAAGUAAGAUUAGGGAGAUAAUGGCAAAAUAUUAUAAAGAUCUAUAUAAGGAAGAGAGGGUAAUGCAAGGGAACUUAAAUAUCAGAGAAAAAGAAAUAAUAUUUAGGGAAUGGAGUAGGAGAGAAGAAGCAGAAUUUAAGGAACCUUUUAAAGGAACAAUAAAAGUGUGGAAAAAAAGAAAGAAGAAGCUAAGUCCAGGCAAUGAGAAUAAGAUGGCAACUAUAUGGCAAAUUAAUUACAAUAACAACGAAAUUAUAGGCAGAACAUUGAGAUCAAUUGAAAGUAGAGGGAAAAGGUUAGUGGAGGAUUUGUAUACAAUAGAUGGAGACCCUGUAGAACAAAAAGAAAUUCAGAAUUGGAUAGGAUCAGGGAAUUGGAUUCAAAGCUGGGCUAUAAGACAGGAAAUUUUUAGAUCGAGAGAAAAAAUUAGAGAACAGGACAGUCCAUUUGAGAAGGUGAUUAGGAAAUGUUUGAGAGAGGAAAAGAAGGUGGCAGGAGAUCUGUAUGAACAAAUUAUAACGGUAAAAGAAGAAAUAGUAGAGGAAAUUUUCCAAACAUGGAGAAUGGACAUGGAAAUUGAGAGGGAAGAUAUACAGAGGGAAAUAAGUAAUAUAGCAAAAGAAAAGUACAGUGUAUUAAGGGAAGCAAGAAGGAAAAUAUUACAAAAAUGGUACAGAACUCCUGCACAACUUUCACGGUUUUUACCAGGGAUGAAAGAUAGGUGUUGGCACGGUUGUGAACAAAGAGGGGUGUUUAAUCAUAUGAUAUGGGAGUGUGAUCGGGUACAAGAAUACUGGAGAAUGAUUGAAGGAGAAAUCAAUAGAAUGCUAAAUCUACAAAUAGUAAUAGAUAAUAGAAAAGUGCUACAUGCAAGGAUAACAGAAGUGAAGAAUAUACAAAAAGAAAAAAUGAUUGACAAAUUAAUAGCAUGUGCACAAAUUGUUUUAGUGAGCGGUUGGAAAGAUAAAACAAAAUGGACUUUGACGAAUUGGUUGAUAUGUUAAAUGUAGAAAUCACAAAUUGCAGAUGGAAUAAUAUAGAUAAAAUUGAAAAUAUUGCAAUAAUCAAGGGGAUGUGGGAACCAGUUAAGAACUAUUUAGAGAAUGUACUAAGAUGUGGAGUGGAAAAAUUAAGAUUGAGAUUGAUAUUUCAAAUGUAACUUCUGUAGUUUGUUGUAUAAAGUGUAUGUACAAGGAGGGGAGGGUGGGAGGGUGGGAGUGGGAUAAAAUGACAAAACAACAACAAUAAAAAAACUCCUUGUAUUCUUCGCUUUUCUUCAGGCAGUCCCUUCCAGAAGAAGGUGUAGCCUCCUUUUUCUUCCUUCAGCUGUCCCUCUCCUGUUCUCUGGGUCUGCUGAAGUGCUGCUAUGUCGAUGUUAAAGCGUCCCAGUUCCCUUGCAAUAAUAGCAGUCCUGAGUUCAGGGUGUUGUCCAGUGUUGUCCAACAGUGUUCGUACGUUCCAUGUUCCAAAGUUUAUUUUUCUUUUCUGGCCACAGGGUGGUGACCCCUCUGGAUGCGGCAGUCCAGUCAGGGAUAAGAGAGGCAGACAAUGUUUAGGGCACCUUUUCUAGCCCCUUCUCCAUGUGGGGUGAGCAAAGCUGAUCCUAAAAAGGGCUGCUUAGCCAUGGAUACAGCUGCCGGACUUUUCAACUACCUUAGUCCUUGAGGCAGAACGACUGAAUCCAUAUCCACCACCCAUGUGCCAGUCUGUGACUAGGGGCUUCCAGAUUUUACAGUCCUGCCCCUGUCACCACUCGCAAAUCGCCAUGGGACUUUUAUUGUUUUGUUUUUUUUAAUAUUUCUUGGAAGAUUCCUGUGAAUGAUUUUUUUUAAUGUGUGGAGGUCAAUGCAGUGGCAUGAUUAACAUGACGGUGGCUUAUUAGUUUGUUGCAGCUUUCUUCUGCCUUCACAGCCGUUGUAACAUGUGCAAUGUUACCCUUCGUCUUCUUUGCUGUUGAGGUCUUAGGGUCUUCAAAUUGUUCUUGGUCUGGAUCCUCCCUUGCGUCCCCUCCUGGAAGUGCAUGACUCCAGUGGAUGUGCCAGCAGGCUCAUUGGAACAUGCAAGCCUGCUCACCACUACAAGGUGACAAUCCUGGAAAGAAGUGAGGAGUGGAGGGCCAGAGGCAGUGUUCCAUCCUGAGCCCGGUUCUGUUCAAGAUCUUUAUUCAUGACUUAGAUGAAGGGUUAGAAGCCACGAUCACUAAGUUUGCAGACAGGACCAAACUAGGGGGCAGAGCCACAACUCCAGAAGAGAGGAUCAGAAUUCACAAUGAUCUUAACAGAUUAGAGAGAUGAUUGGCCAAAGUUCAAUAGGGACAAAUGCAAGAGACUCCACUUAGGCAGAAAAAAGGAAAUACAAAGAGACAGAAUGGGGGAUGAUACCUGGCUCAAAGGAGUACAUGUGAAAAAGAUCUUGGAGUCCUCAUGGGAAGGAAGGGGAACAUGAGCCAACAUUGCCAUGCUGUGGCUCAAAAAGUCAUUGUGAUUUUGGACUGCAUCAAUAGAAGUCUAGAUCUAGGGAAAUCAUGCUCCUCCUCUAUUCUGCCUUGCUCUUUGGAUAGAGAACAAUAGUAAAUGCAAUGACAGGAUUUUAUGUCCUAAUUGAAAAUAUGUUAUCUAGGAGAUUGUCUAAUCAGAAGCAGUGCUGUGGGCCUAGUCUGGUUAGAUGGGAAAGAAAUGGUAAAGAACCUGCACGGCACAGCACACGGCACGGCACGGCACUCAGCACGGCACGGCACUCGGCACGGCACUCGG